Molecule: transfer RNA, 71 nt
Filed under: Marmota monax (woodchuck)
Lineage: Eukaryota; Metazoa; Chordata; Mammalia; Rodentia; Sciuridae
Description: tRNA.Ala
Source: RNAcentral
GGGGUUCUGACUCAGUGGUAGAGUGCAUGCCUAGCACGUGUGAGGCGCUGGGUUCGAUCCUCAGCACCACA